UACGUAGGGACCGAGCGUUGUCCGGAUUCAUUGGGCGUAAAGAGCUCGUAGGCGGCCACUCAAGUCGAAUGUGAAACCUCGAGGCUUAACCUCGAGCCUGCAUUCGAUACUGGGCGGCUAGAGUCUGGUAGGGGGAUCUGGAAUUCCUGGUGUAGCGGUGGAAUGCGCAGAUAUCAGGAGGAACACCGGUGGCGAAGGCGGGUCUCUGGGCAGUAACUGACGCUGAGGAGCGAAAGCGUGGGGAGCGAACAGG
Molecule: ribosomal RNA, 253 nt
Filed under: uncultured bacterium
Lineage: Bacteria
Description: partial 16S ribosomal RNA
Rfam family: Bacterial small subunit ribosomal RNA
Source: RNAcentral